Molecule: ribosomal RNA, 251 nt
Filed under: Codonaria cistellula
Lineage: Eukaryota; Ciliophora; Spirotrichea; Tintinnida; Codonellidae
Description: partial 28S ribosomal RNA
Rfam family: Eukaryotic large subunit ribosomal RNA
Source: RNAcentral
UCAGCAUCUGAGAUGAAGUAGGACCACCCGCUGAACUUAAGCAUAUCAUUAAGCGGAGGAAAAGAAACUAACAAGGAUUCCCCUAGUACGGGCGACGGAAGCGGGAAAAGCCCACACUGGUAAUCUCCGGGCGCCAGCUCGGCGAAUUGUAAUCUGAAGUCAGCUAGUCACAGAAUGGACCGGACGCCGAAGUGCUGCACGAGCGCGCCGCCAAAGAGGGUGAGAGCCCCGUAUGGUGUUGGGUCCUCCAC